RNAcentral lists this long non-coding RNA (389 nucleotides) under Brassica napus (rape). RNAcentral describes it as "long non-coding RNA (BNAP_LNC011181)". The record is from RNAcentral. Lineage: Eukaryota; Viridiplantae; Streptophyta; Magnoliopsida; Brassicales; Brassicaceae.
AAUGUGCAAGCCCCCUUGGUCCAGUGGUUUGACCAAGGGUUCAUUAAUGAUUCUACACCAGGAGGUAUGAGUUUCAAUUCCGGAGAAAGCAAAAUUAUACGAAUUAAGGGAGAAAAUGCUUACAAGAGAUCUGCAGCAUGGCACAAAAAGUACCGUCAAGCGUGGAUCUUAUAGGACGGCUCAGGUGAUGCAGUCAGGCGUGAAUCCUCAUACGGCAGGUAGAAUUGUCGAUUGUAGAAUCGUCAACUAAUAUUUCUCAUAGUUGUAAUAACAUAAUUAUCCAGCGUUAAAAAAAUUAUAAAUAUUAAUUAAUAGUCUUAUUAUUAUUAUUGUUAUUAUUAUUUUUUUAUUAUAAUGUUUGUUAUAAGAGAUAUUAAAGAUAGAGAAUU